CAGCAUCGGAAUGCUCUGAUUUUGGGUAGCGGGGGAAACCUGUAUAAGAAAGUCUUGGAGUUCCCAUUGUGGCUCAGUGGAAACGAAGCCAACUAGUAUCCAUGAGGAUAUGGGUUCCAUCCCUGGCCCCGCUCAGUGGGUUAAGGAUCCAGUAUUGCCAUGAGCUGCCGUGUAGGUCACAGACGAGGCUCGGAUCUGGUGUUGCUCUGGCUGUGGCGUAGGCCAGCAGCAACAGCUCUGAUUCUACUCCUAGCCUGGGAACUUCCAUAUGCUAUACCUGUGACCCUGAAAAAAAAAAGUCUUCCUGGGGCUUCUGAACUUACUGGGCAGAAUGCCGGCCUAUGCACUCUUCCCACCUGUUCUAUUGUUCUAUGGAGAUAGAAACAAGAAAACUGUGAAAGUCUCUGCUUUUCAUAAAAUAGCUUAACAAAACAUCUCUAUUUCAAAAACAUAAACCACUUGUUAGAGUUAUGGCUUUUCUUAUUUCCUUCUUUGGAAUAUUUCUAUCUGGAGUUUAGAAAGAAAUUAGACUGAACACUGAUGUGAAUCCCAAAGGGAAGAUAUAUUCCUUCUCUAAUGUUUGGAAAUGUCAGGAAAUCAUUUAGAGUGAGUGUCUUUGGUGGAUAAUUAUAAUUUGCAUCCUUGUUGGAUACCGUGUACAUUGUGAGAUCAAUUGCUAACGACCUCCUUAGGGCCAGAAGGUCAUCUUUGGUGACUUAAUCUGACGCCUUAUUGAAGAUGUGCCAAUUCUUCUUCCUCCUCCUCUCCUCUUUUCCACUUCCCCUUCUCCUCCUCCUUUCCUUCUCUCUUCCUCCUCUUCCUUCUCCUCCUUUUCAUUCUUCCUUCCUUUCUUCCUCUCUUUUUGCUUGGCAGAGACUAUGUUCUCUAAGUGACAAACUGGGCAUGACGGAAUAAACUUACCAAAUUAGUCUGAUGAGCACCACAGUAUCUAUUUGCGGUCUUCUGUUUGUUUAAAAGAGGAUUUGGCUAUGCAGCUUCUUUUUCAGCUGAGGUUAUCCAGACUGUCCAGUGUAAUCACUUCCUGUAAAGGAGCCAGUAGCCCUGUGGUCACACAGAUCUGCUUUUCUUUGGUGGAUUUUCCCUUCUUUAAUAUAAAGCAUCUUAGCUUGGAGAAUUUUAAACUCCAGUGUUUGAAGGAUGAAGCAAUGUUGAUUUUCUGAAAAGGAAAAUAAUAGAUAGGCUUAGAGAAAGAAAAAAGGGAAAUAAAUCUCACUGUUAUAGGUCAUGUGGAAAGAAUAAUAAGCAAGCAUAAGGAAGACAGCAUCUGGUGAAUAGGGCUUAUCUAUUAAUGCUUGAGUUAGAGGGAAGAAUUGCCUAAAAUGUGUAAAAACCUACCUGGGAAUAAAGGGAAGCCAGCCCUCCAAGAAUUUGGCAUUUGAGAGGAAGGAAAACAGCUUCUUCCAGAACAAGUUCAAAUGCCUGAGCAAGUCUAUACUGACCAUUUAUAACAUGUUUUAUUGUAGUUAUUAUGCAAGUCCUUUUCAAUAUGGAGUAGUGGAAAAAUUAAUUCUGUUUUGGUCUUUUCUCCUCUUAGAUUUCCUUGUUUCUCAUUUAUUCUUCAUUUCUACAAUUAUUUCUCUCCAUCUUCAUUUCUGGCUCUUUCCACUCUUGAGUUUGUGGUUCUGAAAGGCAGGUGCAGUGUGACAGUGGCCCAGUGCUGAUCACCCUCCAAUAGAUUAUAUUCUCUUUGAUGUCUGCUCCAGAGUUCUGUGCAGGUGUUUGGGAGGAUAGGGCAAAAAACAAUGUUUUCCCUAACAAUUUUGGCGUCUCAGAAAGAAACACAAUUUCACAAAGACAUUGCAGAUUCAGAACAGAUAAAUAUAAAUAUAUAUGUCUAACAAGAGUAAGCAUGGGUAGAUUCAAACUAUUAACUUUAGAAUGCAUAAGCAAUGAGGUCCUACUGUACAGAACCACAUCCCUUCUCUUGGCAUAGAACAUGAUGCAAGAUAGUAAGAGAAAAAGAAUGUGUGUGUGUGUGUGUGUGUAUGACUGGGUCACUAUGCUCUACAACAGAAAUUGGCACAACACUUUAAAUCAGCUAUAUUUUAAUAAAAAAUAAAAUAAAUACAAAAAUAGUAAGCAUUACUAAAUUGAUUUUUUAAUUAUUUGUAAACUUGAUACAGCAAUUGCGAAGGCACAAUUGUUCUUAACUCUUGAGAAUUGUUUUUUUUUUUUUUAAAUCACCCCUAGUUUGUAAAUGAAAACAUUCAGGAAAAGAGAUCAUGGAUCAUAUUCAAAAAAUACAAAUGAUGGAGGCUAUGAAAUAGGAUAAUGGAAGAGAACUUUUAGGUUGGUGCACCUAUAUUUAUUUUUUAAAAGAAAAAAAGCAAAUCAUAACGUAUUUAAGAAGUAAAAAUAGGAGAUUCAAUAAGUAAAAUUGGCAAGGACCUCUGAAAACAAUACUUUAAAUAUCCAAGGAUUGUGUACUCUGAUAAUAUAAGAUCCCAAGAGUGAAAUCGGCAUCUGUCUUGUUCACUGCUCUGUCUCCCAGCUCUCCCUGAGGCACAGUUCAUUGCAUGAAUGAGUGAAUGAAUAUGUAUAUCACAGGGAGAAAUCAUGAUAUGGUUGUCAUUCAGAAGAGUCUCAGAGAUUCCCCACUAGUGCUGAGGAGGGUACACAUGUCAUAGGCUCAUUGGAGUGGGCAUGGGAGGCCAUAAGAUCCGAGAAGUAGUAGAGGACACUCAAGACCUAGACUCUAUUCCUCAUUCGAUGCUAGACAUAGGGAGUCUGCAUUCCCCAUGGCCAGAUUUCCAGUAGGGAAGAGUCUGCACUCCCUCCCGCAUGCUCUGCAUAAUGCAGGAAAUGAGGGCAGAGAAUAUGAGACAGUGACGCAGUAAAAGCUCCUUGAAUGAGGAGGUGAGGAGUGGGACAAUGAAUGUGGGUGGACUCAGGAACUCAGUAACUGCAUCACAUUUUUUGACUGAGACAUACUUAUUCACAUGCCACACAAUUGACCCAUUUAAAGUAUGCAAUUCAAUGGCUUUUAGUCUUUUACAGAAUUGUGCAUCCUUGAGCCAAGUCAGAACUGUGGGGUCAGCCCUCAGAUAAUCUACUUUGUGUGUGUGUGUGUGUGUGAAUGUGUAUGAUGUGUGUAUACAUGGGUGCAUGUGAACAUAGACAUGUGAAUUUGUGUGUGCACACAUGUGUGUGGAUGGUGGGGGAGUGGAGAGAGGGACAUCAAGUCCCAGACCAUCCGUAUCUGUGUCUCUUCAGAAAUGUUGCUCAUUCCCUAUUUAUAAAAUAAGCAAAUUUUCUCUACUAAUUCUGUGACUGUAUUUUAUCUGAAGAUCCUGCCUGGAAUUUUAUAUUUUUUUCAUUUUAAACUAUAUGGAACAAAGUCACAUAUAUCACUGUUUCAGGUGACAAAUGAAUUACAAUGUUAAAACUUUCAGGGAAAAAUUUUCCAACACUAAAUUUGCAUUAAUGGAGAGUUCCCGUUGUGGUACAGUGGAAAUGAAUCAACCAAUAUCCACAAGGAUGAGGGUUUAGUCCCCGGCCUUGGACUGGGGACUUGGCAUUGCCGUGAGCCAUGAUGUAGGUCACAGAUGUGGCUCGGAUCCUACAUUACUAUGGCUGUGCUAUAGGCCGGCAGCUAUGGCUCCGAUUCAACCCCUAGACUGGGAACUUCCAUAUGCUGUGGGUGCAGCCCUAAAUAAAUGAAUGAAUGAAUAAAUAAAUAAAUAAAUUCAUAUUAAUGAUUUAGUCUUUUACUCACAAUUUGCAAAUGCCUUGCCAAGGUUAGUUAAGCCUCAGCCAUUCUAAUAAAAGUAAAAUCAUAACUGUUUAAAGCCUGGUGAAAGACGACAUAGAGGAAUCUUCAUUUCAGAAAAUUACAUAAUGCAAUUUACUUCUAUGUUCCAGAAGGGAGUUCGAAUGUUUUCAUCAUCUGUUUUUUUGUGUUUAUACACCCAAGAAGUAUGCAACAUAUUUGUAUGUGUAUGUAUGCAUACACACAUGCAUAUAUAUAUGUAUACAUUGGAACAAAUUACUCAAUUUAAUUAUCUAUAGAAAAUUCUUUACAGGGUUCAGAAAUAACAUAACUAGUAUGAAUAUGUAUAAUAUAAGUAAUACAUACUAUAUAAAAUACAGCAUUUAUUUUAUUACAUAAAAUAUAAACUAUAUCCCAGUAUAAAAAAUCAUAUAAAUAUAUGAUGCCAUAUAUAGUUUAUAUAUUAUAGUUAUAUGUAUGCAAUUGUAAUAUAGAUCUAUUGAAACAUAUAUAUAUAUAUAUUUUAAUUAUAACUGAGGAACUAAUUCAUUCUUAAAUAUUUUUCUGAAAGUCCUGUCCAUAAACAUAGUUUUCACAUUUUCUGGCAUAAAUAAUACAAUGGUUUCCUUUUAAAGUCAUUCCUGUUAUCCAACAUUGAAUAGACUUGUGUCUAAUUAAUAGUGGAGUUUAGAUUCACCGAUUACACACAGAUAUGCAAUCUGACCCCAACAGUCACAUGCAGGGGAAGCCAGUCUGCUAUGAUCUAUAGCCAGUGAACCUGAAAGAAGAGGUGAAAACACAGGUCUGCUGGAGGCAUGGUGUUGGUGACCAGGGAAGAAGAACAGGAAUGAAAUAGUUGGAAUCCAUCCAGUUUGCCAUAGGACACAUCCGAAAACAAGUCCUAGAGAGCCCUGGAGAGAAAUGAUGUGCAAUUAUUCUUUAGUCAAGCAGUCUUCAAGGCUGGAGACCAGUUCAGCCGCUGUGGGAGCACAGGGGCUCUGUGACAUAUGUCCGUGUCUUAUCAGAGGACUGGCUGAGGGCAGACUCUGCCAUGUCAAUGAUGGAAGGGAUUUCAAGAGGCAGGUGAAUCCAGGCAGCUCCUGCUAGUACCAGAGCAGGAGUGAUCCUGAGUUACUGCAGUGUCUCAGCUCCAGAUCUAGUUUCCUUCCCUUAAAGGACCUUAUUCUGAACUUUACCCUGGGAGCUCAACCAUACCCCAGUU
RNAcentral lists this long non-coding RNA (4952 nucleotides) under Sus scrofa (pig). RNAcentral describes it as "lncRNA (ENSSSCG00000063405.1)". The record is from RNAcentral. Lineage: Eukaryota; Metazoa; Chordata; Mammalia; Artiodactyla; Suidae.